UGAAGCUGGAAUUGCUAGUAAUGGCAGGUCAGCAUACUGCCGUGAAUACGUUCCCGGGCCUUGUACACACCGCCCGUCACACCAUGAGAGUUGGGGAUACCCGAAGCCUGUGAGCCAACUGUAAAGAGGCAGCAGUCGAAGGUAGAAUCAAUGAUUGGGGUGAAGUCGUAACAAGGUAUC
This 180-nucleotide ribosomal RNA is filed under the name uncultured bacterium. RNAcentral's name for it is "partial 16S ribosomal RNA". It matches the Rfam family "Bacterial small subunit ribosomal RNA", at positions 1321 to 1500 of the family's 1533-position model. The record is from RNAcentral.